Molecule: transfer RNA, 68 nt
Filed under: Pollicipes polymerus
Lineage: Eukaryota; Metazoa; Arthropoda; Thecostraca; Pollicipedomorpha; Pollicipedidae
Description: tRNA-Leu
Rfam family: tRNA
About the family: Transfer RNA (tRNA) molecules are approximately 80 nucleotides in length. Their secondary structure includes four short double-helical elements and three loops (D, anti-codon, and T loops).
Source: RNAcentral
UCUAAAAUGGCAGAUAAGUGCACUAGAUUUAAGAUCUAGACAUAAAGGUUUAAGCCCUUUUUUUAGAA